UCGUCACACUAUCAUUAACUGAAUCCAUAGGUUAAUGAGGCGAACCGGGGGAACUGAAACAUCUAAGUACCCCGAGGAAAAGAAAUCAACCGAGAUUCCCCCAGUAGCGGCGAGCGAACGGGGAGGAGCCCAGAGCCUGAAUCAGCAUGUGUGUUAGUGGAAGCGUCUGGAAAGGCGCGCGAUACAGGGUGACAGCCCCGUACACAAAAGCGCAUGUGCUGUGAGCUCGAUGAGUAGGGCGGGACACGUGGUAUCCUGUCUGAAUAUGGGGGGACCAUCCUCCAAGGCUAAAUACUCCUGACUGACCGAUAGUGAACCAGUACCGUGAGGGAAAGGCGAAAAGAAC
RNAcentral lists this ribosomal RNA (346 nucleotides) under Salmonella enterica subsp. enterica serovar Kentucky. Its description in RNAcentral is "partial 23S ribosomal RNA". It matches the Rfam family "Bacterial large subunit ribosomal RNA", at positions 140 to 524 of the family's 2925-position model. Lineage: Bacteria; Pseudomonadati; Pseudomonadota; Gammaproteobacteria; Enterobacterales; Enterobacteriaceae. The record is from RNAcentral.